UACGAAGGGGGCAAGCGUUGUUCGGAAUAACUGGGCGUAAAGGGCGCGUAGGCGGUCUGUUGCGUCAGGUGUGAGAGCCCCGGGCUUAACCUGGGAUGUGCACUUGAUACGGGCGGACUGGAAUCCGGAAGAGGAUGGUGGAAUUCCCAGUGUAGAGGUGAAAUUCGUAGAUAUUGGGAAGAACACCGGUGGCGAAGGCGGCCAUCUGGUCCGGUAUUGACGCUGAGGCGCGAAAGCGUGGGGAGCAAACAGG
RNAcentral lists this ribosomal RNA (253 nucleotides) under uncultured bacterium. RNAcentral's name for it is "partial 16S ribosomal RNA". It matches the Rfam family "Bacterial small subunit ribosomal RNA", at positions 524 to 776 of the family's 1533-position model. The record is from RNAcentral.